Molecule: RNA transcript, 2294 nt
Organism: Heterocephalus glaber (naked mole-rat)
Lineage: Eukaryota; Metazoa; Chordata; Mammalia; Rodentia; Bathyergidae
Gene: Mfrp
Gene name: membrane frizzled-related protein
Source: RefSeq, a predicted model, not a curated record
CAGUACCUUGGGUGAGGAAGAAGGGAGUGACAAGCUCCCCUGGUCCCUUCCCCCUCACAGCCACUGCCUGUGCCUUUAAGAACUGCCACCCAGUGCCAGAAUCUUAACCUCAGCACCCUCAGCUGAGUUGGAUUAAGGGACUAUUUCGUGCUUUUAUGAAUUCUUUCUGGCUGCUACCCUUCCUCCACACAGAAACAGAGUGGCAAGGAGCCCCAACAGGUCUGCAGAGGGUAGGCCUUUCCCUUCGGGAGUAGCUCCUUUGUGACCAGGGAGUGGGCCCUUGGGGGUCUUGGACUGUCACUGAAACUCCAGAGAGCCAUGCAGAGCCCUUGGCCAUGAAGAACUCAGAUGUAAUCCUCUGCACAGAGGUGACAGAAUUGAGCAAGACUGAGUUCUGCAAUCCUGCUUUCGAGCCCGAAGCAGGACCACCUUGUUCUCCUGCAGCCUUCCAGAAAGAUGCUUGCAGCGUCCGAGCUGCCUGGCACGGCCGGCGUCCCCAAAGGAUGCAGCUGGACUGCCACUUCUCUUGGCUCUGCGUCUUCCUGCUCAUCCUUCUGGUGCUCUUGCUGCUCGGGUUGCUGGUGGCCAUCGUCCUGGUCCAGAUGCAGGCUGUACCCCCAUCUGGGGCCACCGAGAGCCCACGGCCCAUCAUCGGCACCACCCCUACCAGAACCACCACCACCUCCCCAGCAACUACACAGCAGCAGGAGGCAGGCAUGAGCCCCCCACACCAGGCCUUCUGUGGGGGCCUCCUUCCUGGCCCAAGAGGCUUCUUCAGCAGCCCCAACUACCCAGACCCUUACCCACCCAACACCCACUGUGUGUGGCAUAUCCAGGUGGCCACAGACCACACAAUACAGCUCAAGAUUGAAGCUCUCAGCAUGGAAAGUGUGGCCUCCUGUCUUUUUGAUCGCUUGGAGAUCUCCCCAGAACCUGAUGGCCCCCUCCUCAGGGUCUGUGGGAGGGUACCUCCUCCCACGCUCAACACCAAUGCCAGCCACCUCCGGGUGGCCUUCGUCUCUGACAGCAGUGUAGAAGCAUCUGGUUUCCAAGCCUGGUACCAGGCUGUAGCCCUUGGGCAUGGGAGUUGUGCCCAGGAUGAGUUCUCCUGUGACCAGCUCAUCUGUCUGCUACCUGAAUCAGUGUGUGAUGGUUUUGCCAACUGUGCAGAUGGUAGUGACGAAGCCAACUGCAGUUCCAAGCUCUCUGGGUGUGGGGGGAACCUGACUGGGCUCCAGGGCACCUUUUCUACUCCUAACCACCUGCAGCAGUACCCUCAGCAACAGCUUUGUACCUGGCAUAUCUCAGUGCCUGCGGGACAUGGCAUAGAACUACAGUUCCUCAACUUAAGCCUGGAUGCACAGGAUGGGUGCAAGUUUGACUACGUGGAGGUGUAUGAGGCCAGCAGUUCAGGAGCCCUCAGCCUCCUGGGCAGGUUCUGUGGAGCAGAGCCACCCUCCUGCCUCGUCUCCUCAAGCCAGGAACUGGCUGUGUUCUUCAGGACAGAACAUGGCUUCAGCAAUGGGGGCUUCUCAGCCAGCUACCGGGCAUUGAAUGCCACAGAGAGUGAGGAGCCUGCCCCUGACAACCCGAACAAGGCCCACGGGCCCAGGCAAACUGAAUGUCCAACUCACAGAAACCCUGCCAAGCACACUGCCCAACAUCCCCUGCCCUCCUCCCUGAUUGGUCCAGGGAGCCAGCUGGACCUCACUUCUGACUCGGGGCCACUUCACAGAGUCCUAGAGAGACUUUCAGCUGGAGGGGCAGUGGUAAUUAGUGUCACCUCAGAGUGACAUGGGACUCUGGGAAUCAAUGAUUGGGGCUUCUUACAUACAGAGUCUCUCCACACCUCACUUCAGAGAGGAAGGUGAGAUUUUUUUACCUGAAAAAAGAAAAAGAUUCUUCCAGAACUUUCCCUGCAUAUGUGGGUGCUUCAUGUUCCCUGAAAUCAAAGAGGUUCCUUCAUGACCCCCAGGGCUGGCGAAUGAUGCUUGGAGCAGGCUCAUGAGGAUGCAGCAGGUGUAUACUGCAUCUCUCCUUGCUAUCUCCUCGGGUUCUCACAACCACUCUUGUCUGACCCAGUGACAGCAAGAGCCUAGAGCACUGAAGUGGCUCAUCCCCACAGUGAUCCUCCUCUCCCAUCCCUGCAGUGCUGGUCUGUGAACCCAUCCAGGUAGAGAUGUGUACGGGUCUGAGCUACAACACCACAGCCUUCCCGAAUAUCUGGGUGGGCAUGGCCACCCAGGAUGAAGUGAUCGAUAUCCUCAGAGGCUACAAGAGCCUGACAAGUCUUC